RNAcentral lists this ribosomal RNA (497 nucleotides) under uncultured bacterium. Its description in RNAcentral is "partial 16S ribosomal RNA". It matches the Rfam family "Bacterial small subunit ribosomal RNA", at positions 28 to 507 of the family's 1533-position model. The record is from RNAcentral.
GAUGAACGCUGGCGGCGUGCCUAAUACAUGCAAGUCGAGCGAACAGACGAGGAGCUUGCUCCUCUGACGUUAGCGGCGGACGGGUGAGUAACACGUGGAUAACCUACCUAUAAGACUGGGAUAACUUCGGGAAACCGGAGCUAAUACCGGAUAAUAUAUUGAACCGCAUGGUUCAAUAGUGAAAGACGGUUUUGCUGUCACUUAUAGAUGGAUCCGCGCCGCAUUAGCUAGUUGGUAAGGUAACGGCUUACCACGGCAACGAUGCGUAGACGACCUGAGAGGGUGAUCGGCCACACGGGAACUGAGACACGGUCCAGACUCCUACGGGAGGCAGCAGUAGGGAAUCUUCCGCAAUGGGCGAAAGCUUGACGGAGCAACGCCGCGUGAGUGAUGAAGGUCUUCGGAUCGUAAAACUCUGUUAUUAGGGAAGAACAAAUGUGUAAGUAACUAUGCACGUCUUGACGGUACCUAAUCAGAAAGCCACGGCUAACUACGUG